Long non-coding RNA from Dreissena polymorpha, 701 nucleotides. RefSeq lists it as uncharacterized. The record is from RefSeq and is a predicted model, not a curated record. Lineage: Eukaryota; Metazoa; Mollusca; Bivalvia; Myida; Dreissenidae. The transcript is spliced from 2 exons.
ACAGCAAUAUGAACUGUAUCAAUACCAAGGAGCUUUAUAUACUGACAGCAAUGUGAACUGUAUCAAUUUCAGGGUUUUUCACGCUAUUACUUCCCAAAAAGAACGGUACGGGUACUUUUCCCAAUUGGGCCAAACAAAUUGCUGUAAGGUGACCAAACAAGCAGCAAUACUAAGGAGCUUUAUAUACUGACAGCAAUGUGAACUGUAUCAAUUUCAGGGUUUUUCACGCUAUUACUUCCCUAUUAGAACGGUACGGGUACUUUUCCCAAUUGGGCCAAACAAAUUGCUGUAAGGUGACCAAACAAGCAGCAAUACUAAGGAGCUUUAUAUACUGACAUCAAUGUGAACUGUAUCAAUUUCAGGGUUUUUCACGCUAUUACUUCCCAAAUAGAACGGUACGGGUACUUUUCCCAAUUAGGCCAAACAAAUUGCUGUAAGGUGACCAAACAAGCAGCAAUACUUAGGAGCUUUAUAUACUGACAGCAAUGUGAACUGUAUCAAUUUCAGGGUUUUUCACGCUAUUACUUCCCAAAUAGAACGGUACAGGUACUUUUCCCAAUUGGGCCAAACAAAUUGCUGUAAGGUGACCAAACAAGCAGCAAUACUAAGGAGCUUUAUAUACUGACAGCAAUGUCCUUGACGUUUAAUUGUAUUCCGAACUUCAAAUUCUUGUUCACUGAACAAUAAACAUUAAAAAAAUA